CUGACAUAUUGAUUCUUUGAAAAGAAAUUUAGAACUCAUAUCUAACAUGGGAGAGUGGGAAGAGGAAGAAGAUACAAAUGACCAGUACCAGGACUGAAAGGGAGAUAUCACUGCAGACCCUACAGACAUUAAAAAGGCUAAUAAGGGAAUACAAUAAACAAUUUUAUGCAUACAAAUUCAACAGUUUAGAUGAGAUGGACAAAUUCCUUGGAAAUUAUAAAUGCCAAAAGUCACCCCAAACUGAAUUUUUAGUGACUGGAGGCAUUUAUCUCAGUGGACUCUCCAGACUUUAUUCAAAGCCAUUGCCUGCUUCCAUCAAGCUUAGUCUUGAAUCUUUACCAAUGUUUGAUUUAUUCCUCUUACUUUUUUUUCUAUUAACUUUGAAUACCAUCCCUCCUCCUUUCCAAGACUUUAUUUAUUGUGAGUGAUAAUUGACAUAACCUUCAGGAACCUCAGAAACCUUAGGCAUCUGCAGAAACAUUUUGAAGCAUAUCAGACUAGCCUAUCUUUCUAGAAACCCGAUUCCCAUUCCCCUCUGCCAAACCCCUCAGCGGCGAUGUGUAUACUUUGUAUUAGUGCAUAUUCAGGAAGGUUCAAAGCACUUGUCUGCUACUCUUUGCAUGGCCACACCCUCAGUCAAGGGCCUUUCUGCUUCCAGCAUCAUUACAGAUGGAUUUGAGGCUUUGGGCUAUCUCCAGGGGAGCCAUCUCCUCCAGGUUUUUGUUCCCUUUUCUGACUCAGAACUUAACCAUUCUGGCAAAACUUUCUGUGGUGUGGCCAUAGUUACAGUACAGCGUUUGCAUUCUAUGGGUCUUACAACACUAUCCCCCAAAUCCACCAAUUUUCAGUAGCAUGUAGCUUGUCUCAUAAGCUUUAUUUCCUGCUUUAAAGGAUGAACAGUCCUCAGAGGAACCAAGUUCCUUGCCCAAAUAAUUUUGGCAAGGCUAAGACACUGAAGGACAUCUAUACGCCUUGUUUUCUCAUACAUCUUAGGCCUGUAAAUUCUGGUUUAUGGGUUCACAUCCAGAGUCCCUCCUUUCUUUCCAGCUUUCCAAUUAGUUUCUGUUAAUUUAUAUGGUAGAAAAUACAUAUUUCAAAGACGUAGUUCUUAGCUCUGUCUCAAAGUGCUUAAGCAGUUUUUAUCAAUUUCUUCUUAUUUGGGAGUGGUAUCCCCAAGCUAAUACCGCCUGUGAGGGAAAAAUAUAUACUCUUAGGCAACAUUUUGCUAGUAGCUUGAUAAUCAUAAGAGUGUCUUCUUGCUAGCAAUAUUUUGAGUACAACAGCAACAGAGUGUGCAAUGGAUUCACUGGUUAAGCCAAAAAGUUAUAAUGUUUGAACCUCCCAAGGGCCACCUCCAUAUUUAAUAUGAAUUUCUUUAAACCACCAGAGCUGGGCCUCAUUUCUCCCAUACUCUGUGGGAGUUCUGACUUUCAUCCAAGAUCUUCCCUAUGACUUUAAGAGCAGAAAGACAUGGUCCUUGUGGUGUCUCCCAAACUGGACUCCUCUUAGUUACAAGUGGACUAUGACUGACUUAUUAAAAUGAUCCUCAUCUUUCCAGAAACACUUGAAUGCUGCCACCAGUAUAUUUUUUAGCUGAGACCUUCCUCUUCCUUUUUUCCCCAUAACCAGAAUCUGUGGUCUGUGCUAACAUUGCUUCUCCAUGAAAAUUUCACUCCCACUCCACUCUUUCUACCUUUCUGCAGAUGCCUGCACUUUCACCGCAAAUCAUGAAAUGAUUACAUAUUUUUAACAGCAUUAUUGAGAUUAAAUUUAUUUACCAUAAAGCUCACCCAGGUAGCAGUGGCUGCCAGCUAUACCCUUUCAUAGAAUUAGCCUUUUCUUUAGGCUUUGCUCUUCUCAAAACAAAUACUUCCCUUUUUGUUCUCUUGUUUCCUCUUGUAAGUCCCUAGGAUUAUUAAACAUAGGGCUUGAAUUUCACUUUGAAAUGUUUUCCACGUUUGUGGUAAUAAUGUCACCUGAGGGUUUCUACUAGAUUAAGUAAAGGAAGAAACAGAGUGGGAGGGGAAUGAAGUGUGACAAACUCUCUUAUAAAAGAUAAGGCAAAAAUGGCAGUCAAUUAUUGUUUCUGAUAAAUGUAAUGUCAUCCAAUAAUUUAUAGUAAUUCUGAGAACUAUAGCCAGUAAAAUGAAUUUGCAUAGUCUGUCUUCUUUAGGACACUGAUUUUCAAACUUGAAUGCACACUGGAAUCACCCGAGGAAUUUAAAAAAACACCGACACCUGGAUCCCACACAAGGACCCUGAUUUAAAUGGAUAAUCCUCACCAGCCUCAGAGUUCAUGUCUGAAAGUAUAGAGGCGGCAGAUAACCAAUGCAAGUGAACAUGGGUGAAAAUGGAUGAAAGUCCAUCUGGGCUGUCUGCAAAAUGAGAAGAUUCUAGACACUGUUUCUUAAAUACCUUGGAGGCGAGGAUCACAAAAUGCUCUCAGAAGUUUAUGAAAGCUAUGGAGUCUCCGGAAAUAUUCAGAAUUUUGCAUGUAAUUUUCAUAGAUUGCAGAUUCCCUGAAGAACACCAGUAGUUGAGGACUCCUAGAACCCAGGUUCUGGAUGAAGCCUUCCACCAUUUUAAAGCUCCUUUUAUGGAUAUUUCUGGUUUUGGUCUCAGAUUUUCAUUCUCCAAACAUUCUCUUUAGAUGACCACAUUCACUUUCAAGUAUUCAUGCCAAAUAAAUCUUCAUUUCCAGCCCAGACCUCCCUCCAAACUCUUGGUUUGUUUAGUCACUUGCAACACAGAUUAUUCAUCCAGAUUUCCAUGGGCAUCUCAAAAUCAACACAUCCAAAAUGAAGUUAUCAUCCCUGAUAAUCCUCCUAGCUCCUGUCCCAUUCAUCUCCCUCCCAUCUCUCACCCAUAAAGAAUUAACUACUGAUGUUUCUCACUAACCAACCCAUAAUAAUGACCUGCAUUAAUUAAUCCAUGUGCAAUUCAGAAUUACUUACAUUCAUUUAUCCAUGUGAUAUUUUCACUCAUUAAUCACCAUCGUCUGCAUAUGUAAACAGGAACAACAACAUCCACCUAUCCCAGCAGGGGUUUUGCAAUUACUUUAAAGCCUUUUCAAAUAUAUUUUUGUGUGAUUAAAAUGAUGGAGAUAUUUCAAAUGAAUUCAAGUAUAAAAUGCAAAAUAUUCCAACUUCAUAAACUGUUUACUUCUGGCUUAGAAAAUGUUAAUAUUUUUACUCAACCCAUCUGGCUCUGGAGAUGCUGUGUGUGCUUGAUAAUUGUAUGUGAAAAUUAUUAUUUGCAUCUUUAAAAAUUACUUGAGGAAUGCUAUUUAUUAAACUUGUUAUUCCUAUCUAUUUUUUGACAACAUAAUACAACUUUAAAUUCAAAAGAAAAAUUGACAAGACAUAUUUUAGCAGUUUAAAAUGAACAUCACAGAUACAAAAUGAUCAAAGUAAAAUAUUAUUAGCUGUAGAUGACUCAAAUAUUUCCUCGUCUUACUGUCUUUUGUUUUGAUGUGAUUUCCUUCCAUCCUUAAAAAAUCCUGUAGCACCAUCUGCUCCUAUAACACUUUGGCAUGCUUAAAAAUUUCAUUUCCAGACUCGGCAGUUUUGAAAUACUUCCAUGGACAUUUCUUAAAGAAAAUAAGUUGGAAGAAUUUCCAUUCCUCCCAGCUUGUUUCUUAAUAAACAGCAGACGAAGUACUCAAGAAACACAGAGCUAUAUAAAUGUUUUGUUAUAAUCAGACAUUUCCCUUCUGAUUUUCCCUCUGACCCUGUGGCUAUAUUAUGCCUGAGGAAACAGUAUUUUAUAUGCUAUGUGCACAGUUUAUGCAACAAUUUUUUAAUAUGCAGAUCUGGUUUUAUAAUCUGAAUUCUAAAAUGUAAUGAAUUUCCAUGAAGUGUAUGUUUCAUGGAUAAGCCAGCAUUUAAUAAAUGACUAGAUUACCCAAACACUCCAAGGGAAGUUGGAGACUAAGCAAGUAAUAUCAGUAAAAAUAAUCCAAUAAACUAAAUAGAUUCUCCUUCUACGAAAUUUAACCAUACAUUUAGAAAAAAUUAGACUUCCAGUUUUUGACAGCGGUAAUGGAAAAUUAAGUGGCUCAUUUUUUCAAUGUGUAUGACUCCAAGUCGUUGAAACUGAUACAGAAGUAUAAAUAAGAGGUAUUAAGUGAUGCUGAAACUGUGGUAGGAGAAAUAGCAAUGGACUAAUGGCCUCCUCAGGGAAGCCUAAAUAUAGGUGUUGCAUUGUUUACAAAUAUAUUCAUCCUUUUAGUCACUUAUUCAGCAUAUAUCAAACACCUACUAUGUCUAGAUUUCAUGUUAGUUUCUGCAAUGAAUCAAUAAUUUCCUUGUCAUUUUAAAAUAAUAUUUAUCUAUCAUCUUAGAGAUGCAACUUGGUCCCCUUCAUCCAGCAAUUUCUACUCUAACCCGUUUUUCACAUAAUAGCCAGAGUAAAUUUUGUAAAGUUACAAUUGUAUUGUAGGAUAAAGGUCUAACUCCUUAAUGUGGUUUACAAUGCCCUUUACAAAAGUCUCACUUUUACUUACCCUCUUAGUCUCUGCCUUUCUACACUUACUGUCUAGCCAUACUGAAUUACUUCGCUGUCACUCGAGACUUAGUUCUUUGCAUGCUCUUUCCUCCACCAAAAAUAUUUUUUUUUCUCCUCUCCUUACCUGGCUUCUUUUUUAAAAACUUUUAUUUAUUUAUUUAUUU
Molecule: long non-coding RNA, 4670 nt
Filed under: Homo sapiens (human)
Lineage: Eukaryota; Metazoa; Chordata; Mammalia; Primates; Hominidae
Description: HSALNT0354407
Source: RNAcentral